This 468-nucleotide ribosomal RNA is filed under the name uncultured bacterium. RNAcentral's name for it is "partial 16S ribosomal RNA". It matches the Rfam family "Bacterial small subunit ribosomal RNA", at positions 28 to 507 of the family's 1533-position model. The record is from RNAcentral.
GACGAACGCUGGCGGCGUGCCUAACACAUGCAAGUCGAACGGAAAGGCCCUGUUCUUGUGGGAUGUGCGUGUGGCGAGCGGGUGAGUGUCACGCGAGUAACCUGCCCCUUACUUCGGGAUACCUUCAGGAAACUCGGGUGAAUAUCGGACAUGAGCUCUUUCUGCACGGGGUUUGUUGUAAAGAGGCGGCGGUUGGGGAUGGACACGUGGCUCAUCAGCUUGUUGGUGAGGUAGUGGCUUACCAAGGCUCCGACGGGUAGCCGGCCUGGGAGGGUGACCGGCCACAUAGGGACUGGGGUACGGGCCAGAGUGAUACGGGAGGCAGCGGUGGGAGUUAUUGCGCGAUGGGCCGAGGCCUGGUAGAGCGACGCCGCGUGCGAGAUGACGGCCUUCGGGUUAGAAAGCGGUUUAGAGUGGAACGAAGCGUGAGUGACGGUAAUGGGUAAGAAAGCGACGGCUAACUACGUG